GUCAAACUAGUUGUUGCACUGCAAUAAGAUUGUAGAAUGGGCUAAUUUUAAGUGUUCACAAUAUUGGAUAAUAUUAUGGGUCAUAUAAUUUUCCAGGUAACCAUGUUAAUUUUAGCAAUAUUUCUAACACAUUCUGGCCUUCUUUCAGCAGCUGUGUACAAUGUAAAAUUCAUUGUACACAGCUGCUGACAUUUAGUUUAGCAGACGCACAUCAGAAAGUAUGUGUUCUAGAUGUAACACAUACUUUCUGAUGCACCUACCAGCUGAAACCCCACACUUCCAUCCCCAUUAAUUUUAUUUUAAUUACCCUGUGUUUUCUGUAGUGUUACGUUUCCUUUGUAUUGAAAGCAGUCACAAUUGUCAUGUUUCCUAUGUAGUGUUAAGUUUCCUUUGUAUUGAAAGCAGUCACAAUUGUCAUGUUUCCUAUGUAGUGUUAAGUUUCCUUUGUAUUGAAAUCAGACACAAUUGUAAUGUUCCCUAUGUAGUGUUAAGUUUCCUUUGUAUUGAAAGCAGUCACAAUUGUCAUGUUUCCUAUGUAGUGUUAAGUUUCCUUUGUAUUGAAAUCAGACACAAUUGUAAUGUUCCCUAUGUAGUGUUAAGUUUCCUUUGUAUUGAAAGCAGACACAAUUGUAAUGUUCCCUAUGUAGUGUUAAGUUUCCUUUGUAUUGAAAGCAGACACAAUUGUAAUGUUCCCUAUGUAGUGUUAAGUUUCCUUUGUAUUGAAAGCAGACACAAUUGUCAUGUUUCCUAUGUAGUGUUAAGUUUCCUUUGUAAUGGACAGAAGACACAGUCCUCCUGUGUCCUCUAUAGUGUUACGUUUCCUUUCCGAUGGACAAGAGACAAAGUUCUCAUGUGUCUUUGUAGUGUUAAGUUUCCUUUCUGAUGGACAGGAGACACAGUCCUCCCUUGUCCUCUGUAAAGACACCUUCCAGUCUUGGCCUCACCUCCUUCUGCACUGUGAGGAUCAGCUCACAGCAUCUAAGACAUGCCAAAGACUGCAGCACCAACUGAACUGUCAAUCAACCGAGGACCCAUCACAGUUAGACCCCAUAGGGACACAUUUGACUUCCUGCCUGUCCCCGUCAUUCUUCAAAGCAAAGGACGAGAAAACACCUGCCUGUCUUUGCCUCACUUCCUGUCUGGCUCUGAGAUUCGGGAUCAGCUCAUACCGACCAGGACAUCCUGCCACCACUGCAGCAGCAGAGCAGAUGUUGAAGCACCGUGUUAACUGUUCAUCAUCAGUGGACACUUGCUGGACCACGGAGAGACGUGUUCUCCCUGCCAGUGUUGAGGUUUCUUCACAAAAGAUAAUAAGGUCUUCCUCCUCUGUGAUUCCUCCACUUCACAGUGAAGACACUCAGGACUGCAGAGAGGGCUGAACACAUAAAAGAAGCUGAACAUCAUGCAGCGUAUUCAGUUUCACUGGACUACAUGUUGAUCUGCUCUGCACUGCUCUCAGAGUUCAAGGAUCAGGUGUGUGACUGCAAGGAAGAGUCAUCAGUCAGUCAUCACUGUCCGAGUGACAGCCCCACCUUUAUGCAGCUUCAAGCUCCUCCCUAAACCAGCUGUAAAGGCCUCUCCUCCUCCAUGUAGCUAUAGUAACACUAUCCUGACGUGAUGACUGGAGCAGUGGAUCUACAGCCGCUGCACAGGUCAAAGGUCAUAAUGUUACAGGUCUUCAAAGCAUACACUACUAACUCAUGAACAGUAUUACUACAGGACACCUGUCUAUUUUGUUUGUUUCAUCUCUACCGUAUUUGAUCUAACAAUAUACGUUUUCCUUGUGUUUCAUCGCAUUUUUUUUUGUUGAUUGUAUUUAUUUAUUUAUUAUUUUUUUAUUUGUCAUCCGUCCCUUUUCAGUCAGAUUUAUGAGAAAAUUAAGGAUGAAAAUGUUUGUUUGAUUGCCUCGUGCAUAUGAACAAAUUAACCUUGAAGAAAUUACAUAUUUGUAUCACAAUGAGUCAUUAGUAUGGGGUUUCAGCUGGUAGGUAUAUUCAAGGUUUUUCACAUGUGUACACCGAUCCUUAGGAUAACCUAAACUCUACUGAGACUGCCCAGUGUUAAAUUGUAAGAAUGUGAAAUCCAUCAAGUGUGUCAUCUUCAGAUGGCUAAAACAUGACUUGGUGCAAAGAGCCUUGUCAAAAGAUUUAAUAGGAAAACAAAUCCUACAAAGCUUGGGUCCUAACCUUGAGUCAACAAGUGACUCUAACCUCUAAUGUUCCAUCAAAGUAAGGAGAACCCAGUGUGUCUGUGAGCCUCAGUAAACUGAGCUUAACGCUGGGAUAGUCUAAACGACAAUGUUGACAAGACUUAUCUGUCCAGGGCUCCUGGACCUUGAAGUCUUGAACUGAGUAUUAACCUAAGUCUGGAAACGAUGUGAAAAACCUUUGAUUGUAGGAAAUGAACCACAUUGUUAACUAUUGAAACUAUAGUACAUUUAUUCAUGAAUAACACAGAGACCAAUGUUCACAAAACUGUGUUGAUACAUUUCUCACUCUAAGAUGUUAUCUUUCACGAAAUACUCACUCACAAAAUAAUUAUGACCAAUACAACAGUACUUGUGCACUGUACUCAUCUAUAUUAUUUCUUUAUAUUUCGAUAGAAGAUAAUGAGUCAAAAAAGAAUGUAAAGACGGGAUCUUCUUUUGUGUUGUAUUUCAACUCUUAGCUUUGUUAAAUGCUGCACUUCAUCUUCCACACUGCCAAUUUUGAAAUUAAAAUAUUAUGUUUUCCUGCUGUGCUGGUCUUCACUUUUUGGCAUUAACACUUAUUCAGCAAAGCCAUUGGAAAUUUCAAUAUUUUCAGAAAUUGAACUUAAUUUCAUCUUUGAGCUUGCUGGUAAAUUGUCAUUUUUAUAUCAUGAGCAUUUUUUUUUAAAUUCAUUUCAGUUUUUCGGCUUGUUGGUACAUUUUCGGAUUUCUGUAUUUUCAGCCGUUUUUGAAAUUCAUUUUAGCUAUUUUUUGCAAGAUUUCACAUUUAUUUCAGCUGUUUUCAUUUCUGCUUUUUCAGCAAAUCUAUUGAAAUUCCUUUCAGCUUCUCCCAUUUCUGUAUUUUCAGCAAUUUCAAAUUGAUUUCAGC
This is a long non-coding RNA of Gasterosteus aculeatus aculeatus (three-spined stickleback), 3077 nucleotides long. NCBI's taxonomy places the organism in Eukaryota, Metazoa, Chordata, Actinopteri, Perciformes, Gasterosteidae. The record is from Ensembl.